CUUUUUUUGUUAUAAUUAUGGAGUAGAAGUUAAAGGGCGGUAGCCGACUGGAGGUGAUGCUUAUGAGUAUUUCGUGAGCUAACCUCACAAAACAGAAAGGCGAAAAAUUUGUCAGUAUAUCAAGCAUUGUCAUUAAUGAUUGCAUUUGCAACGUUAAUACUUAUGCUCAAUGAUAAGAA
RNAcentral lists this small RNA (179 nucleotides) under Lactococcus garvieae. RNAcentral's name for it is "rli28". It matches the Rfam family "Listeria sRNA rli28". Lineage: Bacteria; Bacillati; Bacillota; Bacilli; Lactobacillales; Streptococcaceae. The record is from RNAcentral.